This 1754-nucleotide ribosomal RNA is filed under the name Salmonella enterica. RNAcentral's name for it is "partial 23S ribosomal RNA". It matches the Rfam family "Bacterial large subunit ribosomal RNA", at positions 1 to 1781 of the family's 2925-position model. RNAcentral also lists the same sequence under 1 other name. The record is from RNAcentral. Lineage: Bacteria; Pseudomonadati; Pseudomonadota; Gammaproteobacteria; Enterobacterales; Enterobacteriaceae.
GGGUUGUGAGGUUAAGCGACUAAGCGUACACGGUGGAUGCCCUGGCAGUCAGAGGCGAUGAAGGGCGUGCUAAUCUGCGAUAAGCGCCGGUAAGGUGAUAUGAACCGUUAUAACCGGCGAUACCCGAAUGGGGAAACCCAGUGUGAUUCGUCACACUAUCAUUAACUGAAUCCAUAGGUUAAUGAGGCGAACCGGGGGAACUGAAACAUCUAAGUACCCCGAGGAAAAGAAAUCAACCGAGAUUCCCCCAGUAGCGGCGAGCGAACGGGGAGGAGCCCAGAGCCUGAAUCAGCAUGUGUGUUAGUGGAAGCGUCUGGAAAGGCGCGCGAUACAGGGUGACAGCCCCGUACACAAAAGCGCAUGUGCUGUGAGCUCGAUGAGUAGGGCGGGACACGUGGUAUCCUGUCUGAAUAUGGGGGGACCAUCCUCCAAGGCUAAAUACUCCUGACUGACCGAUAGUGAACCAGUACCGUGAGGGAAAGGCGAAAAGAACCCCGGCGAGGGGAGUGAAAAAGAACCUGAAACCGUGUACGUACAAGCAGUGGGAGCACCCUUUGGGUGUGACUGCGUACCUUUUGUAUAAUGGGUCAGCGACUUAUAUUCUGUAGCAAGGUUAACCGAAUAGGGGAGCCGGAGGGAAACCGAGUCUUAACCGGGCGUUAAGUUGCAGGGUAUAGACCCGAAACCCGGUGAUCUAGCCAUGGGCAGGUUGAAGGUUGGGUAACACUAACUGGAGGACCGAACCGACUAAUGUUGAAAAAUUAGCGGAUGACCUGUGGCUGGGGGUGAAAGGCCAAUCAAACCGGGAGAUAGCUGGUUCUCCCCGAAAGCUAUUUAGGUAGCGCCUCGUGAAUUCAUCUCCGGGGGUAGAGCACUGUUUCGGCUAGGGGGCCAUCCCGGCUUACCAACCCGAUGCAAACUGCGAAUACCGGAGAAUGUUAUCACGGGAGACACACGGCGGGUGCUAACGUCCGUCGUGAAGAGGGAAACAACCCAGACCGCCAGCUAAGGUCCCAAAGUCAUGGUUAAGUGGGAAACGAUGUGGGAAGGCCCAGACAGCCAGGAUGUUGGCUUAGAAGCAGCCAUCAUUUAAAGAAAGCGUAAUAGCUCACUGGUCGAGUCGGCCUGCGCGGAAGAUGUAACGGGGCUAAACCAUGCACCGAAGCUGCGGCAGCGACACUGUGUGUUGUUGGGUAGGGGAGCGUUCUGUAAGCCUGUGAAGGUGUGUCGUGAGGCAUGCUGGAGGUAUCAGAAGUGCGAAUGCUGACAUAAGUAACGAUAAAGCGGGUGAAAAGCCCGCUCGCCGGAAGACCAAGGGUUCCUGUCCAACGUUAAUCGGGGCAGGGUGAGUCGACCCCUAAGGCGAGGCCGAAAGGCGUAGUCGAUGGGAAACGGGUUAAUAUUCCCGUACUUGGUGUUACUGCGAAGGGGGGACGGAGAAGGCUAUGUUGGCCGGGCGACGGUUGUCCCGGUUUAAGCGUGUAGGUGUGUGUUCCAGGUAAAUCCGGUUCACUUUAACACUGAGGCGUGACGACGAGGCACUACGGUGCUGAAGCAACAAAUGCCCUGCUUCCAGGAAAAGCCUCUAAGCAUCAGGUAACAUCAAAUCGUACCCCAAACCGACACAGGUGGUCAGGUAGAGAAUACCAAGGCGCUUGAGAGAACUCGGGUGAAGGAACUAGGCAAAAUGGUGCCGUAACUUCGGGAGAAGGCACGCUGACACGUAGGUGAAGUGAUUUACUCAUGGAGCUGAA